RNAcentral lists this ribosomal RNA (187 nucleotides) under uncultured bacterium. Its description in RNAcentral is "partial 16S ribosomal RNA". It matches the Rfam family "Bacterial small subunit ribosomal RNA", at positions 1304 to 1500 of the family's 1533-position model. The record is from RNAcentral.
GCUGCAACUCGCCUACAUGAAGUCGGAGUUGCUAGUAAUCGCGGAUCAGAAUGCCGCGGUGAAUGCGUUCCCGGGUCUUGUACACACCGCCCGUCACACCAUGGAAGUUGGGGGCGCCCGAAGUUGCCUAAGAAAUAAGGUACCUAAGGCGAAACCAAUGACUGGGGUGAAGUCGUAACAAGGUACC